Molecule: ribosomal RNA, 1372 nt
Filed under: uncultured bacterium
Lineage: Bacteria
Description: bacterial SSU rRNA
Rfam family: Bacterial small subunit ribosomal RNA
Source: RNAcentral
GAUGAACGCUGGCGGCGUGCCUAAUACAUGCAAGUCGAGCGAACGGACGAGAAGCUUGCUUCUCUGAUGUUAGCGGCGGACGGGUGAGUAACACGUGGAUAACCUACCUAUAAGACUGGGAUAACUUCGGGAAACCGGAGCUAAUACCGGAUAAUAUUUUGAACCGCAUGGUUCAAAAGUGAAAGACGGUCUUGCUGUCACUUAUAGAUGGAUCCGCGCUGCAUUAGCUCGUUGGUAAGGUAACGGCUUACCAAGGCAACGAUGCAUAGCCGACCUGAGAGGGUGAUCGGCCACACUGGAACUGAGACACGGUCCAGACUCCUACGGGAGGCAGCAGUAGGGAAUCUUCCGCAAUGGGCGAAAGCCUGACGGAGCAACGCCGCGUGAGUGAUGAAGGUCUUCGGAUCGUAAAACUCUGUUAUUAGGGAAGAACAUAUGUGUAAGUAACUGUGCACAUCUUGACGGUACCUAAUCAGAAAGCCACGGCUAACUACGUGCCAGCAGCCGCGGUAAUACGUAGGUGGCAAGCGUUAUCCGGAAUUAUUGGGCGUAAAGCGCGCGUAGGCGGUUUUUUAAGUCUGAUGUGAAAGCCCACGGCUCAACCGUGGAGGGUCAUUGGAAACUGGAAAACUUGAGUGCAGAAGAGGAAAGUGGAAUUCCAUGUGUAGCGAUGAAAUGCGCAGAGAUAUGGAGGAACACCAGUGGCGAAGGCGACUUUCUGGUCUGUAACUGACGCUGAUGUGCGAAAGCGUGGGGAUCAAACAGGAUUAGAUACCCUGGUAGUCCACGCCGUAAACGAUGAGUGCUAAGUGUUAGGGGGUUUCCGCCCCUUAGUGCUGCAGCUAACGCAUUAAGCACUCCGCCUGGGGAGUACGACCGCAAGGUUGAAACUCAAAGGAAUUGACGGGGACCCGCACAAGCGGUGGAGCAUGUGGUUUAAUUCGAAGCAACGCGAAGAACCUUACCAAAUCUUGACAUCCUUUGACAACUCUAGAGAUAGAGCUUUCCCCUUCGGGGGACAAAGUGGCAGGUGGUGCAUGGUUGUCGUCAGCUCGUGUCGUGAGAUGUUGGGUUAAGUCCCGCAACGAGCGCAACCCUUAAGCUUAGUUGCCAUCAUUAAGUUGGGCACUCUAAGUUGACUGCCGGUGACAAACCGGAGGAAGGUGGGGAUGACGUCAAAUCAUCAUGCCCCUUAUGACUUGGGCUACACACGUGCUACAAUGGACAAUACAAAGGGCAGCGAAACCGCGAGGUCAAGCAAAUCCCAUAAAGUUGUUCUCAGUUCGGAUUGUAGUCUGCAACUCGACUACAUGAAGCUGGAAUCGCUAGUAAUCGUAGAUCAGCAUGCUACGGUGAAUACGUUCCCGGGUCU